CUUGAAACACCGGUUCUUGUCCGAUCACCGAAGUUAAUCAACGUUGAGCCUGGUCAGUACCUAGAUGGGUGACCGCUUGGGAAUACCAGGUGCU
RNAcentral lists this ribosomal RNA (94 nucleotides) under Acanthosepion pharaonis. Lineage: Eukaryota; Metazoa; Mollusca; Cephalopoda; Sepiida; Sepiidae. The record is from RNAcentral.